GACAGAGGGUGCAAACGUUGUUCGGAAUUACUGGGCGUAAAGCGCGUGUAGGCGGCCCUGCAAGUCGGGUGUGAAAUCCCACGGCUCAACCGUGGAAGUGCACUCGAAACUGCAGGGCUAGAGUCCUAGAGAGGAAGGUGGAAUGCUUGGUGUAGAGGUGAAAUGCGUAGAUAUCGGAAGGAACGCCGGUGGCGAAAGCGGCGUGCUGGACCUCUUCUGACGCUGAGGCGCGAAAGCCAGGGGAGCAAACGGG
This 253-nucleotide ribosomal RNA is filed under the name uncultured bacterium. RNAcentral's name for it is "partial 16S ribosomal RNA". It matches the Rfam family "Bacterial small subunit ribosomal RNA", at positions 524 to 776 of the family's 1533-position model. The record is from RNAcentral.